RNAcentral lists this ribosomal RNA (434 nucleotides) under uncultured Lachnospiraceae bacterium. RNAcentral's name for it is "partial 16S ribosomal RNA". It matches the Rfam family "Bacterial small subunit ribosomal RNA", at positions 341 to 792 of the family's 1533-position model. The record is from RNAcentral. Lineage: Bacteria; Bacillati; Bacillota; Clostridia; Lachnospirales; Lachnospiraceae.
ACGGGAGGCAGCAGUGGGGAAUAUUGCACAAUGGGGGAAACCCUGAUGCAGCGACGCCGCGUGAGCGAUGAAGUAUUUCGGUAUGUAAAGCUCUAUCAGCAGGGAAGAUAAUGACGGUACCUGACUAAGAAGCUCCGGCUAACUACGUGCCAGCAGCCGCGGUAAUACGUAGGGGGCAAGCGUUAUCCGGAUUUACUGGGUGUAAAGGGAGCGCAGGCGGUUUUUUAAGUCUGAUGAGAAAGCCCGUGGCUCAACUGCGGGACUGCAUUGGAAACUGGAGAACUAGAGUGUAGGAGGGGCAAGUGGAAUUCCUAGUGUAGCGGUGAAAUGCGUAGAUAUUAGGAGGAACACCAGUGGCGAAGGCGGCUUGCUGGACGAUAACUGACGCUGAGGCUCGAAAGCGUGGGGAGCAAACAGGAUUAGAUACCCUGGUA